UCCAGCGACCAUAGCACGUUGAAAACACCGGUUCUCGUCCGAUCACCGCAGUUAAGCAACGUUGAGCCCGAUCAGUACUUGCAUGGGUGAUCAAAUUCAUAAAUCAUUCACUUAAU
Schistosoma mansoni is the source of this 116-nucleotide non-coding RNA. Lineage: Eukaryota; Metazoa; Platyhelminthes; Trematoda; Strigeidida; Schistosomatidae. The record is from Rfam.